This 73-nucleotide transfer RNA is filed under the name Euretaster insignis. Its description in RNAcentral is "tRNA-Glu". Lineage: Eukaryota; Metazoa; Echinodermata; Asteroidea; Velatida; Pterasteridae. The record is from RNAcentral.
AUUUUUGUAGUUUAAAAUCACUAAAACAACAAUUUUUCACAUUGUAAAAUUAACACAACAGUUAACAAAAAUU